CUACGGGGCGCUGCAGUGAGGAAUUUUGCGCAAUGGGGGAAACCCUGACGCAGCAACGCCGCGUGAGCGAAGAAGGCCCUCGGGUCGUAAAGCUCUGUCAAGUGGGAAAAAAAUUUUUUGAUCAAUAGUCAAAAGACUUGAUGGUACCACUGGAGGAAGCACCGGCUAACUCCGUGCCAGCAGCCGCGGUAAUACGAGAGGGUGCGAGCGUUGUUCGGAUUUACUGGGCGUAAAGAGCGUGUAGGCGGUUUAGCAAGUCAGAUGUGAAAGCCCUGGGCUCAACCCGGGAAGUGCAUUUGAAACUGCUUCACUAGAGUAUGGGAGAGGAGAUUGGAAUUCCUGGUGUAGAGGUGAAAUUCGUAGAUAUCAGGAGGAACACCCGUGGCGAAGGCGAUUCUCUGGACCAAUACUGACGCUGAGACGCGAAAGCGUGGGGAGCAAACAGGAUUAGAUACCCCCGUAGUC
RNAcentral lists this ribosomal RNA (465 nucleotides) under uncultured bacterium. Its description in RNAcentral is "partial 16S ribosomal RNA". It matches the Rfam family "Bacterial small subunit ribosomal RNA", at positions 339 to 795 of the family's 1533-position model. The record is from RNAcentral.